CGAACGCUGGCGGCGUGCUUAACACAUGCAAGUCGAACGCGAAAGUUUCUUUCGGGAAGCGAGUAGAGUGGCGCACGGGUGAGUAACGCGUAAGUAAUCUACCCUACCAUCUGGGAUAACCCACCGAAAGGUGUGCUAAUACCGGAUACGUUUAUGAUGUCGCAAGGCAUUAUAAAGAAAGGUGGCCUCUUCAUGAAAGCUACUGUGGAAGGAGGAGCUUGCGUACCAUUAGCUAGUUGGUAGGGUAAUGGCCUACCAAGGCGACGAUGGUUAGCGGGUCUGAGAGGAUGAUCCGCCACACUGGAACUGGAACACGGACCAGACUCCUACGGGAGGCAGCAGUGAGGAAUAUUGCGCAAUGGGGGAAACCCUGACGCAGCGACGCCGCGUGGAUGAUGAAGGCUUUCGGGUCGUAAAAUCCUGUCAGAUGGGAAGAAAUGCAUAUUAUUUAAUAUAUGAUAUGUUUGACGGUACCAUCAAAGGAAGCACCGGCUAACUCC
Molecule: ribosomal RNA, 500 nt
Filed under: uncultured bacterium
Lineage: Bacteria
Description: bacterial SSU rRNA
Rfam family: Bacterial small subunit ribosomal RNA
Source: RNAcentral